GGCGAGUGAAGCGGGAAAAGCUCAAAUUUGUAAUCUGGCGCCUUCGGCGUCCGAGUUGUAAUCUCGAGAAGUAUUUUCCGCGCUGGACCGCACAUAAGUCUGUUGGAAUACAGCGUCAUAGUGGUGAGAACCCCGUAUAUGGUGCGGAUGCCCAGUGCUUUGUGAUAUACUUUCGAAGAGUCGAGUUGUUUGGGAAUGCAGCUCAAAUUGGGUGGUAAAUUCCAUCUAAAGCUAAAUAUUGGCGAGAGACCGAUAGCGAACAAGUACCGUGAGGGAAAGAUGAAAAGCACUUUGGAAAGAGAGUUAACAGUACGUGAAAUUGUUGGAAGGGAAACGCUUGAAGUCAGACUUGCAUUUUGGAGUUCAGCCGCAAGGUGUAUUCUUCAAUUCGCAGGCCAGCAUCAGUUUUCGGGGGUGGAAAAUCGCGGUUUGAAGGUAGCAGUUUCGGCUGUGUUAUAGCUUUCCGCUGGAUUCACUUUUGGGGACUGAGGAACGCAGUACGCUUUUUGCAAGAUUCUAGAGUCUUUCGUACUUAGGAUGCUGGUGGAAUGGCUUUAAACGA
This 562-nucleotide ribosomal RNA is filed under the name Microbotryum reticulatum. RNAcentral describes it as "eukaryotic LSU rRNA". It matches the Rfam family "Eukaryotic large subunit ribosomal RNA", at positions 88 to 647 of the family's 3401-position model. RNAcentral also lists the same sequence under 1 other name. The record is from RNAcentral. Lineage: Eukaryota; Fungi; Basidiomycota; Microbotryomycetes; Microbotryales; Microbotryaceae.